UUAUACAGAUUCCCUUUUCCUCUGAGGAGUGUAAUUAUGAGAAUCAGGAAUAAUAUUUUCAAAUUGUCACAUAAAUAUUUCUGACAUUCCACACUCUAUGGAUUUUGUACACACACAACUCUGACCUUCUUCUGGACUUUAGGAUCAUACUUCCAAGGAGGCUAGGGAGAAGAUGAAUUGAUGAAUAUGUAAAGCAGUGAACAGUUCAUUGGGGAUGCACGUUUUCAUAAAAGGACACAUCCCUUCUCCUUACAUUGAGCAAGGUACAAUGCCUAGCACACUUAUCUACCAAGGUUCCAAGCAUUGAUCCAGGAUAUGAAAGCCACUAUUAAGAUGUUCUGGAGGAUGAGACAUGGGAACAUCCUAGCCCAGCCAUCACCUGACUGCAAUGGUAUGAGAGACUUCAAGUGAAACCAGAA
Long non-coding RNA from Neofelis nebulosa (Clouded leopard), 419 nucleotides. RefSeq lists it as uncharacterized. NCBI's taxonomy places the organism in Eukaryota, Metazoa, Chordata, Mammalia, Carnivora, Felidae. The record is from RefSeq and is a predicted model, not a curated record. The transcript is spliced from 4 exons.